This 71-nucleotide transfer RNA is filed under the name Loxodonta africana (African savanna elephant). It matches the Rfam family "tRNA". Rfam says of the family: Transfer RNA (tRNA) molecules are approximately 80 nucleotides in length. Their secondary structure includes four short double-helical elements and three loops (D, anti-codon, and T loops). The record is from Rfam by way of RNAcentral. Lineage: Eukaryota; Metazoa; Chordata; Mammalia; Proboscidea; Elephantidae.
GCAGUGGUGGUUCAGCAGUAGAAUUCUUGCCUUCCAUGAGGGAGACCCAGGUUUGAUUCCCGGCCAGUGUA